ACUGCACAUUGUUGGAGCUUGAAAUUGAGGCCACUGGCGGGCCAACGAACUCACAAGCAUGGGUAUUGUGGUACAUGAGAGGCACAUCUUUUCAAUAAUGCCACAAGGGUCUCUGGCCCAGUGAGUGCAGUUUGAUAGUAAUUCUUGCUACAAGU
Molecule: small nucleolar RNA, 155 nt
Organism: Lutra lutra (Eurasian river otter)
Lineage: Eukaryota; Metazoa; Chordata; Mammalia; Carnivora; Mustelidae
Source: RefSeq, a predicted model, not a curated record